AAGACCGGAAAGGAGACGGGCCUGCUCACCCGCCUACUAGCCAGAGUCUUGAUAGCUAUGGAGAGAAUCAUUGCAAAACAAAGACUCGAGCAGUGCAUCUUGGAGAGAAAUCCUAAAAGCAGCUUCUGCGGCCAAGAAGGGGCGUGGCAGGGAGGUUGUCUUGACAGAGGACCCUAAGGCUAAGAAUUUCCACUUUGCUAUUACUUUCAUGUAACAUUAAUCUUCUCUUCCAUGCUACUGAAUGUUAUAAAAGAGAAAAUAAAAAAGCUGCAUCCAUCUCAUGCACCUACAAUGAGAUAAACUCUUGAUGUAUUAUAAAUAUGCUUGAUCACUUGUACAACUGCUAAUUAUAAAUUACACACUAGUGCAAUUUAUCAUAAUCAUAUAUACUAUGAUUAUGGCAAGUGGUUAUGAUUUUCUGGCCAUGUGAUAUUCAUACAAUUGUUCAAAAUAUGAGACUGAACUGGAGGAUUACUGCAAAAAGGACACCUCAGCAUAAAAUAUUCUAUAGUCUAGUGGACACAAAAAUGAAUUCAUUACAACAGCUGCAGUCUAUGUAUGUUAACCCCUUUCUCUAAUGUAUUUGCGUUUUCCUAGGAAUAAAGCACUUAAAUCUAGAGUCUUGACCCAUCUGAUUCUUUUAUAUAAAGUUGGAAGACUAGCAUCUCUUUGAUAAAAGGUGCAACUAUUUAUAGAAGGCACUACCUCAAUCUCUUUGUAAUAUGCAGUCAUACUGCAAUUGCAUUCAGCAACAGCCUCCACAACAGUACAUACCCAACAGUGCAGUUUUCAAAUUUCACAAGUUAUUCUACUCUAAUUAACCAGCCAUAUGCAAUUUUAUCUGAAAAAAAAAAUCAGUUUGUAGCCAUACAUGUCAUCCUCACUCAGAGAAACCCAAUAAAACUCCUGGUGUAUUUAACAGCAUUCUUACUAUCAUGGCAGUGAGGCAGGCUGAUCAAUAAGCAUUUCUUGCCAUAACUGUACUGAUACAGUCCACUUGCACCACAUUGUUGAGAGGCAGUUUGGUGUAGUGGUUAAGGCAGCAGGCUAGGAACCAGAAAGCCACAAGUUCUAGUCCUGCCUUAAUCACAAGGCAGUUAGAUAAUCUUUAAUCAUUUUCUCUGUCCUGGGAAGGUCACAAUGGCAAACCAUUUCUGAAAAAAACUUGCCAGGAAAACUACAGGAACUUCAGUUCCAGGGAAUGUCUAAGAAUCAGACAUAACUGAAUGACAGAAAAAAACAGGAUAGUACCAUUACUUACUUGGUUACUGCAUGGGCACAUGAACACAUGUACGUACUAUUUGCCUGAAUAUGAUUCAAGCUACACAAGUCAUACUACAGACUAUGCUUAAUAAUAUCCAUGUUUUCCUAGUGCUCCUUAAUUACUGAACACUGAAUUUAUCUUAGUCUCAGUGUGAUGAGGAAAUUGGUACAUUUUGUAGACCAGGUUAUCUCUAUUAUUAUUACAGUUUAAAACAUUCUAAAAGACAAAGUCCAUAAAAAUGGAUCAAACAGUAUUAUCAAUUUGUAUCAUUCCAGCCAAAAGAAAACAGAACAAGCAUAGAUGGGAAGUGAAUUGACUCUUUGUACCCAAUUGCCUAACUGUAAAGCAGAAAUAACUUAGAAACGGCAGGAGAAAGUUGUGUAAUGCUGCUCUGAAAAGAAACCAGACCAGGCUGUUGAAUCUAGUUUAUAAGAUGACUACAAAAUGGGUAAUUGAGCUAGCCUUUGGGUACCGAACAAACCAUCUCUGGAGGAAACCAUGCUAUUCUGGAUAAUUUUUUGGGGGGGGGGGAGGCUGCCCAAUCUAAUCUGGAUGUUUGUAGAGUUCUCAUAACUAAAUGUCAUAUUACUCAGAAUUGUGUGCACAUGCCCCAUUUCAGAUCAUUUGCCUAUAAUGUUUAUGACCUACAUCUUGGCAAGAAUCCCAAAUAUAUCCUGCUUACUAUGGCAACUUGUAAACAUUUCUAAAAGAUCUCUUAGAUAAAACGUGAUAAGAAAUAAAUUAUA
Notechis scutatus (mainland tiger snake) is the source of this 2010-nucleotide non-coding RNA. Lineage: Eukaryota; Metazoa; Chordata; Lepidosauria; Squamata; Elapidae. The record is from RefSeq and is a predicted model, not a curated record.